Small nuclear RNA from Sorex araneus (European shrew), 109 nucleotides. NCBI's taxonomy places the organism in Eukaryota, Metazoa, Chordata, Mammalia, Eulipotyphla, Soricidae. The record is from RefSeq and is a predicted model, not a curated record.
GGAUGCUCACUUUGGCACCCCAUAUACUAAAAUAGGAAUGAUACAGAGAAGAUUAGCAUAGCCCCUGAGCAAGUAUGACUUGCAAAUCCAUGAAACUUUCCAAGUACUG